RNAcentral lists this ribosomal RNA (1234 nucleotides) under metagenome. RNAcentral's name for it is "bacterial LSU rRNA". It matches the Rfam family "Bacterial large subunit ribosomal RNA", at positions 1564 to 2808 of the family's 2925-position model. The record is from RNAcentral.
UGAGUACGAGAUGCUACGGCAUUGAAGCAGUCUAUGUCAUACUUCCAAGAAAAGCUUGCACUGUCAUAAACAAAGAAUGCCUGUACCAUAACCGACACAGGUGGGUAGGUAGAGUAUACUAAGGGGCGCGAGAUAACUCUCUCUAAGGAACUCGGCAAAAUGACUCCGUAACUUCGGGAGAAGGAGUGCCUUAUUUUUAAGGUUGCAAUAACAAGAUCCAAGCAACUGUUUAUCAAAAACACAGGUCUCCGCUAAGUCGUAAGACGAUGUAUGGGGGCUGACGCCUGCCCAGUGCCAGAAGGUUAAAGAAUUUGGUUAGCAUUCGCGAAGCUGAUAACUGAAGCCCUGGUGAACGGCGGCCGUAACAAUAACGGUCCUAAGGUAGCGAAAUUCCUUGUCGGGUAAGUUCCGUCCCGCACGAAAGGCGUAAUGAUUUGGAUACUGUCUCGGAGGGGGACUCGGUGAAAUAGACUUGUCUGUGAAGAUGCGGACUACCUGCACCUGGACAGAAAGACCCUAUGAAGCUUUACUGUAACUUGAAAUUGAAAUUGGACUUUAGUUGCGCAGGAUAGGUGGUAGGCGUUGAGAAUAUUCUUGCGGGAGUAUUGGAGCCAUCAGUGAGAUACCACUCUUCUAAUGUUAGAUUUCUAACUUUGUAUCAUUAUCUGGUCAAGGAACAGUUUCAGGCGGGCAGUUUGACUGGGGCGGUCGCCUCCUAAAGGGUAACGGAGGCGCACAAAGGUUUCCUCUGAACGAGUAGAAAUCGUAUCUAGAGUGUAAAGGCAUAAGGAAGCUUGACUGUGAGACCUACAAGUCGAGCAGGGACGAAAGUCAGUCUUAGUGAUCUGACGGUGCUGAGUGGAAAGGCCGUCACUCAACGGAUAAAAGUUACUCUAGGAUAACAGGCUGAUCUCCCCCAAGAGUUCACAUCGACGGGGAGGUUUGGCACCUCGAUGUCGGCUCAUCGCAUCCUGGGGCGGUAGUACGUCCCAAGGGUUGGGCUGUUCGCCCAUGAAAGCGGUACGCGAGCUGGGUUCAGAACGUCGUGAGACAGUUCGGUCCAUAUCCGGUGUAGGCGUUAGAAUAUUGAGAGGAGCCUUCUCUAGUACGAGAGGACCGAGAAGGACAUACCUCUAGUGUACCAGUUAUCGUGCCAACGGUAAACGCUGGGUAGCUAUGUAUGGAGUGGAUAACCGCUGAAAGCAUCUAAGUGGGAAGCCCACCUCAAGAUAAG